Molecule: ribosomal RNA, 423 nt
Filed under: uncultured bacterium
Lineage: Bacteria
Description: bacterial SSU rRNA
Rfam family: Bacterial small subunit ribosomal RNA
Source: RNAcentral
GUGAGGAAUAUUGGGCAAUGCCCGCAAGGGUGACCCAGCAACGCCGCGUGGAGGAUGAAUGUCGUAAGAUUGUAAACUCCUGUUAGAGGGGAAGAAUAGUACCGGUUGGACCGGUAUAUGACUGUACCCUCAGAGAAAGCCCCGGCUAACUACGUGCCAGCAGCCGCGGUAAUACGUAGGGGGCAAGCGUUGUCCGGAUUUACUGGGUGUAAAGGGCGCGCAGGCGGGAUAAAAAGUCAGUGGUGAAAUCCUACAGCUUAACUGUAGAACUGCCUUUGAUACUUUUAUUCUUGAGUUCGGGAGAGAGAGACGGAAUUCCCGGUGUAGUGGUGAAAUACGUAGAUAUCUGGAAGAACACCAGUUGCGAAGGCGGUCUCUUGGUCCGACACUGACGCUGAGGCGCGAAAGCGUGGGGAGCAAACA